GACGAACGCUGGCGGCGUGCUUAACACAUGCAAGUCGAACGGAAAGGCCCUGCUUUUGUGGGGUGCUCGAGUGGCGAACGGGUGAGUAACACGUGAGUAACCUGCCCUUGACUUUGGGAUAACUUCAGGAAACUGGGGCUAAUACCGGAUAGGAGCUCCUGCUGCAUGGUGGGGGUUGGAAAGUUUCGGCGGUUGGGGAUGGACUCGCGGCUUAUCAGCUUGUUGGUGGGGUAGUGGCUUACCAAGGCUUUGACGGGUAGCCGGCCUGAGAGGGUGACCGGCCACAUUGGGACUGAGAGACGGCCCAGACUCCUACGGGAGGCAGCAGUCGGGAAUAUUGCACAAUGGGCGGAAGCCUGAGGCAGCAACGCCGCGUGCGGGAUGACGUCCUUCGAGUUGUAAACCGCUUUCGCAUGUGACGAAGCGGGAGUGACGGUAAUGGGUAAAGAAGCACCGGCUAACUACGUG
This 468-nucleotide ribosomal RNA is filed under the name uncultured bacterium. Its description in RNAcentral is "partial 16S ribosomal RNA". It matches the Rfam family "Bacterial small subunit ribosomal RNA", at positions 28 to 507 of the family's 1533-position model. The record is from RNAcentral.